This 455-nucleotide ribosomal RNA is filed under the name uncultured bacterium. Its description in RNAcentral is "bacterial SSU rRNA". It matches the Rfam family "Bacterial small subunit ribosomal RNA", at positions 340 to 786 of the family's 1533-position model. The record is from RNAcentral.
UACGGAAGGCAGCAGUGGGGAAUAUUGCACAAUGGGCGAAAGCCUGAUGCAGCUAUGCCGCGUGUAUGAAGAAGGCCUUAGGGUUGUAAAGUACUUUCAUCGGGGAGGAAAAACAAAACUAAUAAUUUUAUUUCUUGACGUUACCCGAAAAAGAAGCACCGGCUAACUCCGUGCCAGCAGCCGCGGUAAUACGGAGGGUGCUAGCGUUAAUCAGAAUUACUGGGCGUAAAGAGCACGUAGGUGGUUUUUUUAAGUCAGAUGUGAAAUCCCUGGGCUUAACUUAGGAACUGCAUUUUGAAACUGAAAUACUAGAGUAUCGUAGAGGGAGGUAGAAUUCUAGGUGUAGCGGUGAAAUGCGUAGAUAUCUGGAGGAAUACCUGUGGCGAAAGCGGCCUCCUAAACGAAUACUGACACUGAGGUGCGAAAGCGUGGGGAGCAAACAGGGAUUAGAUACC